This 444-nucleotide ribosomal RNA is filed under the name uncultured prokaryote. Its description in RNAcentral is "bacterial SSU rRNA". It matches the Rfam family "Bacterial small subunit ribosomal RNA", at positions 355 to 796 of the family's 1533-position model. The record is from RNAcentral.
UGAGGAGUCUUGCGCAAUGGGGGCAACCCUGACGCAGCCACGCCGCGUGCCGGAAGACGGCCCUAUGGGUUGUAAACGGCUUUUACCGGGGAAGAACCCGGGUCUUUCGAGACCCGCUGACGGUACCUGGUGAAUAAGCACCGGCUAACUCCGUGCCAGCAGCGGCGGUAAUACGGAGGGUGCAAGCGUUGUCCGGAAUCUUUGGGUGUAAAGGGUGCGCAGGCGGUAGCUUAAGUCGGGGGUGAAAUCCUGCCGCUCAACGGCAGAAUGGCCUUGGAUACUGGGUUUCUUGAGUCCGGAAGAGGUUGGUGGAAUUGGUGGUGUAGCGGUGAAAUGCAUAGAUAUCACCAAGAACACCGGUGGCGAAGGCGGCCAACUGGUCCGUGACUGACGCUGAGGCACGAGAGCGUGGGGAGCGAACAGGAUUAGAUACCCCUGUAGUCC